AAGAAGCGUGUGGAGGGCCCUGGCUCCCUGGGCCUGGAGGAAUCAGGGAGCAGGCGCAUGCAGAACUUUGCCUUCAGCGGAGGACUCUACGGGGGCCUGCCCCCCACACACAGUGAAGCAGGCUCCCAGCCGCAUGGCAUCCAUGGGACAGCACUCAUCGGUGGCUUGCCCAUGCCAUACCCAAACCUUGCCCCGGAUGUGGACUUGACUCCUGUUGUGCCGUCAGCAGUGAACAUGAACCCUGCACCAAACCCUGCGGUCUAUAACCCUGAAGCUGUAAAUGAACCCAAGAAGAAGAAAUAUGCAAAAGAGGCUUGGCCAGGCUGUGAAUUUGUCUGUCAGUCACUGAUUGCCACUGCCAUCUGGAAAUGUUUGCUAAAGGCACAGUCACUGGGCUUGGGAGGCAAUGCUCCAUCCCCAUUAUAUUACAAAUAAAGAUGCCCUAAAUGAGUGUGGAAA
This 459-nucleotide small RNA is filed under the name Pongo abelii (Sumatran orangutan). RNAcentral describes it as "processed transcript". The record is from RNAcentral. Lineage: Eukaryota; Metazoa; Chordata; Mammalia; Primates; Hominidae.